This 494-nucleotide ribosomal RNA is filed under the name uncultured bacterium. RNAcentral describes it as "partial 16S ribosomal RNA". It matches the Rfam family "Bacterial small subunit ribosomal RNA", at positions 28 to 507 of the family's 1533-position model. The record is from RNAcentral.
GACGAACGCUGGCGGCGUGCUUGACACAUGCAAGUCGAACGGAAAGGCCUGCUUUCCCUUGUGGAUUGCGGGUACUCGAGUGGCGAACGGGUGAGUAACACGUGGGUGAUCUGCCCCCAACUUGGGUAUAAGCCUGGGAAACUGGGUCUAAUUCCCGAUAGGACUGCAGGGUGGUGCCUGUGGUGGAAAACGAUUUUCUAGUGGUUGGGGAUGAGCUCGCGGCCUAUCAGCUUGUUGGUGGGGUAAUGGCCUACCAAGGCGGCGACGGGUAGCCGGCCUGGGAGGGUGGACGGCCACAUUGGGACUGAGAUACGGCCCAGACUCCUACGGGAGGCAGCAGUGGGGAAUAUUGCACAAUGGGCGGAAGCCUGAUGCAGCGACGCCGCGUGGGGGAUGACGGCCUUCGGGUUGUAAACUCCUUUCGACCGCGAGGAAGCCACCUGGUUGGAAGGGUGGUGACGGUAGUGGUAGAAGAAGCACCGGCUAACUACGUG